Molecule: transfer RNA, 72 nt
Filed under: Sphaerodactylus townsendi
Lineage: Eukaryota; Metazoa; Chordata; Lepidosauria; Squamata; Sphaerodactylidae
Description: tRNA-Ala
Source: RNAcentral
GGGGGCAUGACUCAGUGGAAGAGCAUCUAAUUGGCAUUCAGAAAGUCCCCAGUUCAAUUGCUGGCAUCUCCA